This 1961-nucleotide long non-coding RNA is filed under the name Triticum aestivum (bread wheat). RNAcentral's name for it is "long non-coding RNA (TAES_LNC023422)". The record is from RNAcentral. Lineage: Eukaryota; Viridiplantae; Streptophyta; Magnoliopsida; Poales; Poaceae.
UUUUUUGUCUCUGUGGGAGCAGGUUCGUGAAUUAAGAGGGCGGCGCUUCAGUUGUGUCCUCUUCACAUCCUUCUCCUUCACGAGGCAUUCAUUUCGCCUCGUUCCCCAUUCUCCUCUUCGUCAGUUGCUCCUGGAGGCGACGGCGACUUCUGGAGAGCUACAAGAAGAGAGAGACGCAUUGGAGUGAGUUGCAUCUGUUGUUCUCCCCUUUCUUCUCUUCUUUCUUCGUGUAUGUGGUUUGCUCACAUAUCUAGUAUCUAGUUUAUGGGUUGUUUUUGUGUGUUAAUCGAUCUAGGGUUCGUGCUUCCAAUGCCUCUAUGAGUUUGUUUGUUUUUUGUUUGUGUGUCCAUCGAUUUUAGGAAAGGUUUUUUGCCCGCUCGCAAUCCCCCUGAUUGUUAGAAGCACGAGGCUCCUUUUUUCUGUCUGUGUUUUUCGAUCUAUCUAGUGGUGGGUGGAGCUGCUGGUGAGGUGGGGAUUUCGGGUGUAGAUAAGGAUUGAUAAAGAAUUGAGUGUGUCACUGCUCAUUUUUGUAUAGAUUAUAGCCUCUUUUUUUGGUAGGUGGGGGUGUUUAUUUCAGUGUUAGGGUUUGAUGGAUGGAGCAGAUUUUUGUUCAAUCUCUCUGAUAGACUCACCGAGGAUUCAGAAAGAUUUUUUCAGUGCCAUGUGGUGUGUAGUUUGUUUAAUGGGGCCGAUUUUACAUGCUCUGCUAAAUUCCCAGUAGAUACAGAUUCAGAAACAUUAAUGUUCAGAAAGAUUCAGUGUUGUGAUUCAGAUUUUAUAUGCUCUGCUAAAUUCACAGUAGAUACAGAUUCAGAAAGAUAAAUGUUCAGAAAGAUUCAGUGUUGUGAUUCAGAUUUUAUAUGAUCUGCUAGAUUUUUGUGAGCAUGUGGUCUACUUGUUGCAGGUUGAACUCAACUUUUCUAAGAGUUGUGAAUCAACUUUUUUUAUAUGCAAACAACUGAAUAUAAAUAGAGAAGCAACUCAGAGAUGAAUCAGCAUAGACCAUGUGUUUUUUGUUCAGGUUGAUUUUUUUGGAUUAGUGUUUUUUUGCUAGACUCAGUGGCAGAUUUGUACAUUUGUUUUAUGUUUUAGCAGUAUAUAGUUGAUAUCUGUAUUAGUUUUAGUAUGUAUGUUUUGACAGAGCUAGUUUUGAUUUAUAUCAGUCAAUGUUUUCAUUCUUUCUUUCUUUUUUCAGUCAUUUGUUUUUGUGACAUUUGUUUGUUUCUUUAUGUCAGGUGGCGGCGAUUGUUUGGGAGCGAGAAGGGGAGGGGGAGGAGAGGAGCAGCCAAAUAUGUGGCGUUUUCCCAUGAUUUAUGUGUUUUUUUAUUUCUUCCCAUUUUAGAUUUAGUAAAAUGUCAUCUGUGUUUAUUUUAUGCGUAUAGGUUAAAGUAGUGUGCACUGGUGGUAUUAAAUUAGUGUGUUAGUCACCGAAUGGUUUUCCGAGCAAGCAAUUUUCUACUUGUCGUGUAUUUGAGGAAGAGAGAUAUGACCCACCCCUGGUUUUGUAUUUUUGAAUGUUGGGGUUGAUGCUAUGUACAUAUAUGUAUGCAUUUUUUGAUUGAAUCAUGGGCUGCAUUAAAACUGAAGAGUUGAGAUUGAAUUUGAAUUGUACUUUUUCUCAUAGCAGACUAUGCAUGCCUUAGUGUAGACGUGAAGAUAAAUUUCUACAGAUUUGCUAUUUUCACAUCUAGAUGUAACUAUCUCACAUCUAAGUCCAGAGCCAUUGGAUUUAUUUUGUCUUUAGAUUCGCGCAAAUCGUCUUUUUGUCUCCGCUAGUACAUUCUGUCGGGUUCGCUCGUGUUUUGUGGUCUGUUGUGCGGCCCGUAGUCGAUGCUAGCAGCGGGCCGGGGGCGGGUUUGUGGUGUUUGUUGAGCUAACGGGCCGUGUUUGUCCAUCUCAGAGCAGUUUUGAAGAGGAGGGGGCGACCAUUCUUUUUUCCCAUCGCACUAGUUUCCCCCGUU